AUCGCUUCUCAGCCUUUUGGCUAAGAUCAAGUGUAGCAUCUUCAUGCAUGUAUCUUACAUAGUUUAGAUAAUACCUAAUAAUGUUUUUAAUUCUUAAUUAUU
Molecule: small nuclear RNA, 102 nt
Organism: Equus caballus (horse)
Lineage: Eukaryota; Metazoa; Chordata; Mammalia; Perissodactyla; Equidae
Gene: U2
Rfam family: U2 spliceosomal RNA
About the family: U2 is a small nuclear RNA (snRNA) component of the spliceosome (involved in pre-mRNA splicing).
Source: Ensembl